UACGUAGGUGGCAAGCGAUACUCGGAAUCACUAGGCGUAAAGCGCAGGUAGGCGGUUUGGUAAGUCUUUUGUGAAAGCUCCCGGCUCAACUGGGAGAGGUCAAGGGAAACUACCGGACUAGAGUGUGGUAGGGGAUACUGGAAUUCCUGGUGUAGCGGUGAAAUGCGUAGAUAUCAGGAGGAAUACCGAUGGCGAAGGCAGGUCUCUGGGCAUUAACUGACGCUGAGGAGCGAAAGCAUGGGGAGCGAACAGG
This 253-nucleotide ribosomal RNA is filed under the name uncultured bacterium. RNAcentral's name for it is "partial 16S ribosomal RNA". It matches the Rfam family "Bacterial small subunit ribosomal RNA", at positions 524 to 776 of the family's 1533-position model. The record is from RNAcentral.